Molecule: ribosomal RNA, 331 nt
Filed under: uncultured bacterium
Lineage: Bacteria
Description: bacterial SSU rRNA
Rfam family: Bacterial small subunit ribosomal RNA
Source: RNAcentral
CGCGUAGGUGGGAUAGUAAGUCUACUUUAAAAGUGCGGGGCUCAACCCCGUGAUGGGGUGGAAACUGCUAUUCUUGAGUGCAGGAGAGGAAAGCGGAAUUCCCAGUGUAGCGGUGAAAUGCGUAGAUAUUGGGAGGAACACCAGUGGCGAAGGCGGCUUUCUGGACUGUGUCUGACACUGAGGCGCGAAAGCUAGGGGAGCGAACGGGAUUAGAUACCCCGGUAGUCCUAGCCGUAAACGAUGGGUACUAGGUGUAGGGGGUAUCGACCCCCCCUGUGCCGGAGUUAACGCAAUAAGUACCCCGCCUGGGGAGUACGGCCGCAAGGUUGAA